This 200-nucleotide unclassified non-coding RNA is filed under the name Preussia sp. (in: ascomycete fungi). Its description in RNAcentral is "Preussia sp. (in: Fungi) partial internal transcribed spacer 2". Lineage: Eukaryota; Fungi; Ascomycota; Dothideomycetes; Pleosporales; Sporormiaceae. The record is from RNAcentral.
UUAAGUUCAGCGGGUAUCCCUACCUGAUCCGAGGUCAAAUUCAUGGGGGUAGCUUCUGGGAGCCGAUCCGCCGGUCUCGAGUUCGCGUUUCUGCUGCGCUCGAAGCCAACGUGCCGGCCGCCAAUAGAUUUGAGGCGAGUCCGCGCCGUGAGGCAGGACAGACGCCCAACACCAAGCAGAGCUUGAAGGUUUGAAUGACG